AUUUGUGAUUCAUAAGUAUGAUGUUUGGGUGUUCACACCAUUGUAUGAGCUAUUCCUCCCUUAAAUCUUGUUAGGCUGUUGU
RNAcentral lists this small nucleolar RNA (82 nucleotides) under Marmota monax (woodchuck). It matches the Rfam family "Small nucleolar RNA U13", at positions 1 to 86 of the family's 104-position model. The record is from RNAcentral. Lineage: Eukaryota; Metazoa; Chordata; Mammalia; Rodentia; Sciuridae.